UAAUACCCCAUGAAACAGGGGUCCCCGAUGGGGAAUAUUUGUUAAAGAUUCAUCGCUGAUAGAUAGGCAUGCGUUCCAUUAGGCAGUUGGCGGGGUAACGGCCCACCAAACCGACGAUGGAUAGGGGUUCUGAGAGGAAGGUCCCCCACAUUGGUACUGAGACACGGCCCAAACUCCUACGGGAGGCAGCAGUGGGGAAUAUUGCACAAUGGGCGAAAGCCUGAUGCAGCGACGCCGCGUGAGCGAAGAAGUAUUUCGGUAUGUAAAGCUCUAUCAGCAGGGAAGAUAAUGACGGUACCUGACUAAGAAGCACCGGCUAAAUACGUGCCAGCAGCCGCGGUAAUACGUAUGGUGCAAGCGUUAUCCGGAUUUACUGGGUGUAAAGGGAGCGCAGGCGGUGCGGCAAGUCUGAUGUGAAAGCCCGGGGCUCAACCCCGGUACUGCAUUGGAAACUGUCGUACUAGAGUGUCGGAGGGGUAAGCGGAAUUCCUAGUGUAGCGGUGAAAUGCGUAGAUAUUAGGAGGAACACCAGUGGCGAAGGCGGCUUACUGGACGAUAACUGACGCUGAGGCUCGAAAGCGUGGGGAGCAAACAGGAUUAGAUACCCUGGUAGUCCACGCCGUA
This 624-nucleotide ribosomal RNA is filed under the name uncultured bacterium. RNAcentral's name for it is "bacterial SSU rRNA". It matches the Rfam family "Bacterial small subunit ribosomal RNA", at positions 164 to 804 of the family's 1533-position model. The record is from RNAcentral.